AUGGGGACACCAGGGGAUGGGGACGCUGUGACAUGGGGACACUGUGACAUGGGGACACCAGGGGAUGGGGACAGUGUGACAUGGGGACAGUGUGACAUGGGGACAUGGGGACACUAUGACAUGGGGACACCAGGGGUUGGGGACACUAUGACAUGGGGACACUGUGACAUGGGGACACUGCAGCCACUGUCACCGUCACAGCACGGGGCGCCCUGUCCCCAAUGUGUCCCCAAGGCUCCCUGUCACCUGGGGGUCCUUCGUCACCCAGGUGUCCCCUGUCACCCAGGUGUCCCCAUCACUCAGGUGUCCUUUGUCACCCAAGUGUCCUUUGUCACCAGGAUCUCCACGUCACCCAAGUGUCCUUUGUCACCCAGGUGUCCCCUGUCACCCAGGGUGUCCUU
RNAcentral lists this long non-coding RNA (401 nucleotides) under Numida meleagris (helmeted guineafowl). RNAcentral's name for it is "lncRNA (ENSNMEG00000002362.1)". Lineage: Eukaryota; Metazoa; Chordata; Aves; Galliformes; Numididae. The record is from RNAcentral.